Brassica napus (rape) is the source of this 1039-nucleotide long non-coding RNA. RefSeq lists it as uncharacterized. The record is from RefSeq and is a predicted model, not a curated record. The transcript is spliced from 4 exons. NCBI's taxonomy places the organism in Eukaryota, Viridiplantae, Streptophyta, Magnoliopsida, Brassicales, Brassicaceae.
CUUCUCCUUGGUCGCAUUUUUAUUUUGAUCCAAAAUCAAUUUUUCUCUUCUUCCUCCGAUCUCAAUCACUCAUCCUCUGUCGAUUCUGAUCCGGAUCUACUUCUUAGAAUCAAGAAACCGACGUCCCUCUCUUCUCUUUGUUGUUGCGUAAGGACAGCCUUAUCCAAGGUCCGAUCAAUCUGAGAGCUGGAGUAGGUGGAGGUCCCGACGGCGGACGUCUGAGAAGUUCAUUGAUAAACAGUAUUUGCAGUCUAUGGCACAAGCUGUUCAUGCUUUCGAUCUAAACAUGCGAAUAGUCUUCUGGAAUGCUAUGGCGGAGAAGCUUUGUGGCUACUCUGCAGCGAAGCAGUUGGGGUGGGGAGAAUCCAAUUAGUGUUAUUGCAGUAGGUCGUGAUACUACUUUCUCUGUGAAUAUUGCUAGGCGUUGUGUCCGUGGAGAGAGCUGACUACAUUAAAGGCGCAAGAAGGUGAAACGAGCUUUGCACCAGCAAGGUGAGAGUAGUACUAUACUCUCUGAGGGUGGCAGUGGGGAUAGCCAUCAAUCAGAUCAUAGUGUCUUCGGUGCGACUCACUCAGACCACAGGGACGAUGCAGCAUCAAGUGGUGCCAGCGGGAUUUUGAUGUCGGUUAUGAUGCGAAGAGAGAAGAGGGAUUCCCGUCACUUCAAACGGAUGCGGUUUCCACGAGGAAGCAGAUUUUGCUGUAUACACUUGGUUUUAUGACCACAAGCCACUAGUAAAGACCAAACUGAUUAAUGGUCCCAGCUACCAGUGACAAUGACUUAUAAGAAAGAAAGAAAGAAAGAGGAUCCCCCCUGACCAUGGAAAAGAUGGUGACUGUUCUGGAUUGGAGAUUUAAACUUCCAUUUCAAUAUUUAUAAAUUUUGGUUCACAGGUUCAGAUUUUUGCAGAUUUGAUUCGGAUUCAAACCAUUUAAAUUACAUUUAAAAAAAAUUUAAAAAUUCAAAUAUAAUUUGCAAGUGGCUGUACUGUGUACAUAAUAAUUUGUUGCUAAAGACUUCUUUAUUUUUUGAGGUCAA